UUAAAUUGAAGAGUUUGAUCAUGGCUCAGAUUGAACGCUGGCGGCAGGCCUAACACAUGCAAGUCGAACGGUAACAGGAAGCAGCUUGCUGCUUCGCUGACGAGUGGCGGACGGGUGAGUAAUGUCUGGGAAACUGCCUGAUGGAGGGGGAUAACUACUGGAAACGGUGGCUAAUACCGCAUAACGUCGCAAGACCAAAGAGGGGGACCUUCGGGCCUCUUGCCAUCAGAUGUGCCCAGAUGGGAUUAGCUAGUUGGUGAGGUAACGGCUCACCAAGGCGACGAUCCCUAGCUGGUCUGAGAGGAUGACCAGCCACACUGGAACUGAGACACGGUCCAGACUCCUACGGGAGGCAGCAGUGGGGAAUAUUGCACAAUGGGCGCAAGCCUGAUGC
Molecule: ribosomal RNA, 394 nt
Filed under: Salmonella enterica subsp. enterica serovar Hadar str. SA20026260
Lineage: Bacteria; Pseudomonadati; Pseudomonadota; Gammaproteobacteria; Enterobacterales; Enterobacteriaceae
Description: bacterial SSU rRNA
Rfam family: Bacterial small subunit ribosomal RNA
Source: RNAcentral